This 400-nucleotide ribosomal RNA is filed under the name uncultured bacterium. RNAcentral describes it as "bacterial SSU rRNA". It matches the Rfam family "Bacterial small subunit ribosomal RNA", at positions 355 to 772 of the family's 1533-position model. The record is from RNAcentral.
UGAGGAAUAUUGCACAAUGGAGGAAACUCUGAUGCAGCAACGCCGCGUGGAGGAUGACACAUUUCGGUGCGUAAACUCCUUUUAUAUAAGAAGAUAAUGACGGUAUUAUAUGAAUAAGCACCGGCUAACUCCGUGCCAGCAGCCGCGGUAAUACGGAGGGUGCAAGCGUUACUCGGAAUCACUGGGCGUAAAGAGCGUGUAGGCGGAUUGAUAAGUUUGAAGUGAAAUCCUAUAGCUUAACUAUAGAACUGCUUUGAAAACUGUUAAUCUAGAAUGUGGGAGAGGUAGAUGGAAUUUCUGGUGUAGGGGUAAAAUCCGUAGAGAUCAGAAGGAAUACCGAUUGCGAAGGCGAUCUACUGGAACAAUAUUGACGCUGAGACGCGAAAGCGUGGGGAGCAAA